This 579-nucleotide long non-coding RNA is filed under the name Pan troglodytes (chimpanzee). RNAcentral's name for it is "lncRNA (ENSPTRG00000053331.1)". The record is from RNAcentral. Lineage: Eukaryota; Metazoa; Chordata; Mammalia; Primates; Hominidae.
AUGGUAGUUUCUUUUGCUGGGCUGCACCAUUUUAUUUCUAAUGGAGCAAUGGUAAAUGUACUCAACUUAGAGCCAAAUCCAAAUUACCUAUAUGUCAAUUGCCUACCUGAUGGCUGUGAACAACAGAAAGAAGAAACAAAGACAUACCUGUAUGUAAAGGUUGAGCUUGAAAAAAGAAAACUACUCUUGACGCUGAAAAAUGCAAUCCAACAUGAAAGAAUGCUUAUUUCAGGUUUUACCUGAAUCUACCUAGGGCUGAAUUUCUUAUCUAUACUUUACUACAGAUAUUCUGCUUUGUGCAGAUCUACAAUGGAUCAUUAAAGUCAAAGAAUAAUUAUUUGUCUUUCUACUCCUCCCAGUACCCAAGACCUGAGAGUGAGAUAUUAAAUUCGUCCUUAGAUCUUUCAUGCAAUGUUACAGCUCUUUGGAACUCCUCAUGAAGCUCCUCCUCUCCAUGGUGGAAUUUUACUCUGAGGAGAGAGAGGCUAAAAUGUUUCAGUCCCCUAUAUGAUAAGUCCAAAAUCACUGUUUCACAUAUAUGCUGACCUGAUACAUUGAGCCAUUGAUACAUGUCUUUCC